This 1436-nucleotide long non-coding RNA is filed under the name Ananas comosus (pineapple). RNAcentral describes it as "long non-coding RNA (ACOM_LNC040092)". The record is from RNAcentral. Lineage: Eukaryota; Viridiplantae; Streptophyta; Magnoliopsida; Poales; Bromeliaceae.
AGCAUAUCCGGCACGUGCACAGACCCGCCAUACACCUGCAGUAUAUAAGGCGUCUACGAGAAGUAAGUCGAUAGGAAGUAAAACAAGAGAGUCCUAUCCUGAUAUCAGAGCAAAGUACAAGUCGAUAUACAACGAGUAUCCAAUCCGAGUCAAAAUCCAAAGUGUAUACAAACCAUGAUCACAGCAAAAAGAGAAGUAACACUACUAUCAUCUCAACCCCGAAAGUAAAUAUACAUCACGGGUGUACAAAAAGAAUAGAUACAAUGGUGGUCUCUCUAUAUAUAUAUGGACAUCACCCUCGGCCGUAGCCCGAGUAGCAAGGUGAUCGACUAGCACGCUCCUAGUAGUCCCUAGCUAGGCGCGACUCCCUUGCCACGAUCCCUAGCCUCUCCUGUAACAGGCUCUGUAAAAACAACCACCAAAAGGGCGUGAGAACUAUUAACAAUAGUUCCCAGUGGGUAAGCCGCCAGCCUCGGCGAAUUACACCACUAGGCUCGAGAUGUACAGAAUGGAAAUAAAAGCAGUAAUUUGCAUGAUAUAUUUUCAAUGCUAACAAUUCAUAAGCCAAUGUUAACAAAUAAUGAACAUGUAAACAACAUGUGAUCAUAGCAUCAACAGUAAUGAAUUAACUGAAUGAUAGAAGCAUGGCUACUACUAUAAGCAUAAACGUAGCAUAAGUGUGUAAGUAACUACUGUACACUGUAACUGGUAAUUAUUCGUUACUGUCCAAUUUUCCUUUAGCACUUUCCUUUCAUUCACAGGGAUCUACUCAAGGUAGCCCAGCUUGCGCCGCGCCUAAUGGCCCCGUGGUAGUAUACACUCCCCACGGCAAUCCACUUCGGCACCCAAUCCCGCACGGGCGAGCAACUGUCGCGUAGGCCAACUCCGGAGUGCCGGCUUGUAGGGAGCUACCCUCACAAGCGUGUGCGAAUGAGCACGAUGGCAAGCAAGCAAAGUCCAUUAUCCACAUGUCUCAAUUUUCAUAUUUUCACAUACAAAGUUCAGAACCCUCGAUCCUCUGAUCGGAAUAUCAAUACACAAAUAGUAACAAAAGCUAGUAUCCACUAGAUUGUAAACAUGUAAGGGUAAAGCUAAAUCACAUAGCAUUAUAAUCUUUCCACUAGUAUGGCACUAUCAACAUAGUCAUGAGCAUGUCAUAGUUCCCUAUGUUAGAGUCAAGAGAAUGUCAUGGUUCUCUACAAAGUCACGAGAAUAUCAUUGUUCUCCACUCUACUAAAGCAUCAUUAGUAUGUCCAUUAGUUAUCUUAACUAAAUACGAACAUAAACAUAGGCAUAAAGACACUUAUGCAUGAGUACUCUCUACUUCAUAGAGGUUCUAUUCAAUCAUAUGUAUACAUAUCAACACUAUAAUAUAGUGACUCGUCUCAAAUUCUGUAUCAAUCACAAAAACAUACAACUGUAUCAAUUCUAUAGUA